GCCGCGGUAGCCGAGUGGUUAGCAUUGCGUAGAAACAUUCGGAAGGCUUGGGUUCAAGUCCCAGCGGCGGCA
RNAcentral lists this transfer RNA (72 nucleotides) under Ceratitis capitata (Mediterranean fruit fly). It matches the Rfam family "tRNA". Rfam says of the family: Transfer RNA (tRNA) molecules are approximately 80 nucleotides in length. Their secondary structure includes four short double-helical elements and three loops (D, anti-codon, and T loops). Further hydrogen bonds mediate the characteristic L-shaped molecular structure. tRNAs have two regions of fundamental functional importance: the anti-codon, which is responsible for specific mRNA codon recognition, and the 3' end, to which the tRNAs corresponding amino acid is attached (by aminoacyl-tRNA synthetases). tRNAs cope with the degeneracy of the genetic code in two manners: having more than one tRNA (with a specific anti-codon) for a particular amino acid; and 'wobble' base-pairing, i.e. permitting non-standard base-pairing at the 3rd anti-codon position. Lineage: Eukaryota; Metazoa; Arthropoda; Insecta; Diptera; Tephritidae. The record is from Rfam by way of RNAcentral.